UACGCAGGGAGCUAGCGCUGCUCGGAAUUACUGGGCGUAAAGCGCGCGGAGGCGGACCAGUUAGUUGUGGGUGAAAUCCCGGGGCUCAACCCCGGAACUGCCUUCAAUACUGUCGGUCUAGAGUCCGAGAGAGGUGAGUGGAAUUCCCAGUGUAGAGGUGAAAUCCGUAGAUAUUGGGAAGAACACCAGUGGCGAAGGCGGCUCCCUGGCUCGUUUCUGCCGCUGAGGCGUGAAAGCGUGGGGAGCAAACAGG
Molecule: ribosomal RNA, 253 nt
Filed under: uncultured bacterium
Lineage: Bacteria
Description: partial 16S ribosomal RNA
Rfam family: Bacterial small subunit ribosomal RNA
Source: RNAcentral